AGACUUUUAAGCACCAAUACUAAUGUGAGGUCAAAGAUAUUUCUUUCUACAAGGUCUAAGAUUUAGGCAAACUAAGCUUAGCAAGGCCAGGAUAAGUAUUUUAUCAAUCAAGCAUUGUAAAAGAUUUUUCAAGUUGUUGGUGAUUCACCUGAUCAUUAGGAGCUUUCCACUUGCUGGCACAAUGAGAAAGAAGGAAGCUCAUCAAAUGGAAAAUUUCCAUUUUCAGAUCUGGCCUUGCCUGGAAGUAAAAAUAGCAUAAGGAAAAUAGAUCAUUUAAUAGAUCCUUAUUACAGGGGGAAAUCAGCAAACUUACCAGCAUUCGCUGCAAAAAUACAAGAUCCAAAAGAGCCACAUUGUUCAGCACCUUCAGUACUCCAGUAGCCACCUCUUCAAAAUUAGAUGGAAGGAUAAAUGAGGCCUAGAAGAAAAUGAAGUUGUUCGACUCAGGUUGUAGAAAACUCACUUGUUCAGAAGAUGAUCUAUUGUUUGCUUGCAAAAGAACAGCAGUCAAAAGAGAAGGGAGACUGACUAAUCCUGUUUCAGAAAUAGCUGAAAGAAGAAAUACUACUGGCUGAGCCAAAUUUGAUACUUUUUCGUUUUUCUGUACUGUAACAUUUACCACUGUAUGUUUCUCAUCCUUUUGGAAAACAGGCAUAUUAGUAAUAUCCCCAUUUUGAUA
This is a non-coding RNA of Cajanus cajan (pigeon pea), 679 nucleotides long. The record is from RefSeq and is a predicted model, not a curated record. NCBI's taxonomy places the organism in Eukaryota, Viridiplantae, Streptophyta, Magnoliopsida, Fabales, Fabaceae.